This is a non-coding RNA of Tinamus guttatus (white-throated tinamou), 485 nucleotides long. NCBI's taxonomy places the organism in Eukaryota, Metazoa, Chordata, Aves, Tinamiformes, Tinamidae. The record is from RefSeq and is a predicted model, not a curated record.
AGUCCUCCUUAUUUGUAAUGUGCCAAAAUGUAUAAUUGACAAAGAUUGUGAUUUCCUCUCUUAAUGUUGCAGGUUCAUGAAAGCUUUAAGUUAUGCUUCAUUAGAUAAAGAAGACUUAUUAAGUCCUAUUAACCAAAACACACUUCAGCGUUCCUCUUCCGUUCGCUCCAUGGUUUCUAAUGCUACAUAUGGUAGCUCUGAUGAUUACAUUGGCCUUGCGCUCCCUGUGGAUAUCAAUGAAAUAUUUCAGGUAAAGGAAACUCCGUAUUUCCAGAAGAAAACCACACCUCCAUUUGAUGACCGUGGAGCUCGAGUCUUUGCACCCGAUGCAGGAGGUCUACAAUCAGGUACAAGUGAUGUUGUCAAAAGUCCUUUCCAGAUGCUUCGACAGCAGAUCAGUCUCACAGAAAUAAUGAAUACAAGCCGUUCAGAUGCCUCUCAGUUUCUAGAAAAUACAGAGGAUACUGGACUGCAGGAGCACACAG